GAUGAACGCUGGCGGCGUGCCUAAUACAUGCAAGUCGAGCGAACAGAUGAGGAGCUUGCUCCUCUGACGUUAGCGGCGGACGGGUGAGUAACACGUGGAUAACCUACCUAUAAGACUGGGAUAACUUCGGGAAACCGGAGCUAAUACCGGAUAAUAUAUUGAACCGCAUGGUUCAAUAGUGAAAGACGGUUUUGCUGUCACUUAUAGAUGGAUCCGCGCCGCAUUAGCUAGUUGGUAAGGUAACGGCUUACCAAGGCAACGAUGCGUAGCCGACCUGAGAGGGUGAUCGGCCACACUGGAACUGAGACACGGUCCAGACUCCUACGGGAGGCAGCAGUAGGGAAUCUUCCGCAAUGGGCGAAAGCCUGACGGAGCAACGCCGCGUGAGUGAUGAAGAUCUUCGGACCGUAAAACUCUGUUAUUAGGGAAGAACAAAUGUGUAAGUAACUAUGCACGUCUUGACGGUACCUAAUCAGAAAGCCACGGCUAACUACGUG
RNAcentral lists this ribosomal RNA (497 nucleotides) under uncultured bacterium. RNAcentral's name for it is "partial 16S ribosomal RNA". It matches the Rfam family "Bacterial small subunit ribosomal RNA", at positions 28 to 507 of the family's 1533-position model. The record is from RNAcentral.